UGGGGGAUAUUGCACAAUGGGCGAAAGCCUGAUGCAGCGACGCCGCGUGGGGGAUGAAGGCCUUCGGGUUGUAAACUUCUUUUGCUCUGAACAAGGCAUGCUAAUGGGUGUGUUGAGUGUAGGGGUUGAUUAGCGCCGGCUAACUACGUGCCAGCAGCCGCGGUAAUACGUAGGGCGCGAGCGUUGUCCGGAAUUAUGGGCGUAAAGGGCUUGUAGGUGGCUGGUUGCGUCUGUCGUGAAAGCUCAUGGCUUAACUGUGGGUUUGCGGUGGGUACGGGCUGGCUUGAGUGCAGUAGGGGAGGCUGGAAUUCCUGGUGUAGCGGUGGAAUGCGCAGAUAUCAGGAGGAAUACCGGUGGCGAAGGCGGGUCUCUGGGCUGUUACUGACACUGAGGAGCGAAAGCAUGGGGAGCGAACAGG
Molecule: ribosomal RNA, 418 nt
Filed under: bacterium
Lineage: Bacteria
Description: partial 16S ribosomal RNA
Rfam family: Bacterial small subunit ribosomal RNA
Source: RNAcentral